GGUGAUAGUCCCGUACACCAAAAUGCACAGGCUGUGAACUCGAAGAGUAGGGCGGGACACGUGGUAUCCUGUCUGAAUAUGGGGGGACCAUCCUCCAAGGCUAAAUACUCCUGACUGACCGAUAGUGAACCAGUACCGUGAGGGAAAGGCGAAAAGAACCCCGGCGAGGGGAGUGAAAAAGAACCUGAAACCGUGUACGUACAAGCAGUGGGAGCACCUUCGGGUGUGACUGCGUACCUUUUGUAUAAUGGGUCAGCGACUUAUAUUCUGUAGCAAGGUUAACCGUAUAGGGGAGCCGCAGGGAAACCGAGUCUUAACUGGGCGUUAAGUUGCAGGGUAUAGACCCGAAACCCGGUGAUCUAGCCAUGGGCAGGUUGAAGGUUGGGUAACACUAACUGGAGGACCGAACCGACUAAUGUUGAAAAAUUAGCGGAUGACUUGUGGCUGGGGGUGAAAGGCCAAUCAAACCGGGAGAUAGCUGGUUCUCCCCGAAAGCU
This 497-nucleotide ribosomal RNA is filed under the name Klebsiella pneumoniae. Its description in RNAcentral is "partial 23S ribosomal RNA". It matches the Rfam family "Bacterial large subunit ribosomal RNA", at positions 363 to 867 of the family's 2925-position model. RNAcentral also lists the same sequence under 2 other names. Lineage: Bacteria; Pseudomonadati; Pseudomonadota; Gammaproteobacteria; Enterobacterales; Enterobacteriaceae. The record is from RNAcentral.